RNAcentral lists this ribosomal RNA (590 nucleotides) under Pantoea sp. N2.40. RNAcentral describes it as "bacterial SSU rRNA". It matches the Rfam family "Bacterial small subunit ribosomal RNA", at positions 837 to 1427 of the family's 1533-position model. The record is from RNAcentral. Lineage: Bacteria; Pseudomonadati; Pseudomonadota; Gammaproteobacteria; Enterobacterales; Erwiniaceae.
GCGUGGCUUCCGGAGCUAACGCGUUAAGUCGACCGCCUGGGGAGUACGGCCGCAAGGUUAAAACUCAAAUGAAUUGACGGGGGCCCGCACAAGCGGUGGAGCAUGUGGUUUAAUUCGAUGCAACGCGAAGAACCUUACCUACUCUUGACAUCCAGAGAACUUUCCAGAGAUGGAUUGGUGCCUUCGGGAACUCUGAGACAGGUGCUGCAUGGCUGUCGUCAGCUCGUGUUGUGAAAUGUUGGGUUAAGUCCCGCAACGAGCGCAACCCUUAUCCUUUGUUGCCAGCGGUUAGGCCGGGAACUCAAAGGAGACUGCCAGUGAUAAACUGGAGGAAGGUGGGGAUGACGUCAAGUCAUCAUGGCCCUUACGAGUAGGGCUACACACGUGCUACAAUGGCGCAUACAAAGAGAAGCGACCUCGCGAGAGCAAGCGGACCUCAUAAAGUGCGUCGUAGUCCGGAUUGGAGUCUGCAACUCGACUCCAUGAAGUCGGAAUCGCUAGUAAUCGUAGAUCAGAAUGCUACGGUGAAUACGUUCCCGGGCCUUGUACACACCGCCCGUCACACCAUGGGAGUGGGUUGCAAAAGAAGU